UGCUGUCAAAAUCUAAUGUCAUGUUGAUGAUAUUGAAAAUAUGAGAAACAGGAAUUUACAAUUAGCUUUAUUAAUUUUUGAAUUUUGUAAAAUAAUUUAGUACACAAAAAAUAGAUUCCUGAUUAUAUUUUGAAAAUUUAUUUCCUUCAAUAUGAGUGCAGAAACACCUGAGUUUGACCAAUUUGAUGAUGAAGAUGGAGAUCAACAGUUGGGAGCUACAGCUUCAGGUAGGAAGAGAUUGUUCAGUAAAGAACUUCGUUGUAUGAUGUAUGGUUUUGGUGAUGACCAAAAUCCGUAUACUGAAAGCGUUGAUUUCUUAGAGGACCUUGUAAUAGAGUUUAUAACUGAAACUACGCAUAGAGCUAUGGAAGUUGGUAGGCCAGGCCGAGUUCAAGUUGAAGAUAUCAUAUUUUUAGUUCGCAAAGAUCAUAGAAAAUAUGCUAGAGUGAAGGAUCUAUUGACAAUGAACGAAGAGCUGAAAAAAGCUAGAAAAGCUUUUGAUGAAGUCAAGUAUGUUGAAGACCAACAAUAAGUUUGGUGGUCAAACAACAUCAUGCUCUCAGACUGAUAAUGAAAAUUUGGAUACUAAAGGUCUAUGAGAUAAUUUUUAUGAAGGUUCAAGAUUUUUGGUUGACAAUGUAAUACAAAUACUACAGGCUUAGUAAAGACACUUCUUCAAAUAUGUAUUUUGUUUAAGUAUAGUAAUAAACUUUUCUUUACAA
RNA transcript from Vanessa tameamea, 722 nucleotides. It is a transcript of the gene named transcription initiation factor TFIID subunit 13, with no coding region annotated. NCBI's taxonomy places the organism in Eukaryota, Metazoa, Arthropoda, Insecta, Lepidoptera, Nymphalidae. The record is from RefSeq and is a predicted model, not a curated record. The transcript has 6 exons.